RNAcentral lists this ribosomal RNA (56 nucleotides) under Holothuria edulis. RNAcentral describes it as "partial 28S ribosomal RNA". It matches the Rfam family "Eukaryotic large subunit ribosomal RNA", at positions 1 to 56 of the family's 3401-position model. RNAcentral also lists the same sequence under 4 other names. The record is from RNAcentral. Lineage: Eukaryota; Metazoa; Echinodermata; Holothuroidea; Aspidochirotida; Holothuriidae.
GGACCUCAGAUCGGACGAGAUAACCCGCUGAAUUUAAGCAUAUUACUAAGCGGAGG